GAUGAACGCUGGCGGCGUGCCUAAUACAUGCAAGUCGAACGCUUCUAUCCUACCGUUUGUUUGCACUCGAUUGCGAAGAGCGGGGGCGUACGGGUUAGUUACACGUCCGUAACCUCCCCAUUAGCGGGGGAUAACCCGUGCUAAUAGGUGCUAAUACCUCAUAACACUUUAUUCCGCAUGGCAUAACAGUGUUAGUGGCUCUCGUGUGUCGCUGCUAGAUGGAUCCGCGAGGCAUUAGCUAGUUGGUUAGGUAACGGCUCACCAAGGCAACGAUGCAUAGCCGACCUGAGAGGGUGAUCGGCCACACUGGAACUGAGACACGGCCCAGACUCCUACGGGAGGCAGCAGUAGGGAAUCUUCGGCAAUGGGCGAAAGUCUGACCGAGCAACGCCGCGUGAGUGAAGAAGGUUUUCGGAUCGUAAAACUCUGUUGUUAGGGAAGAACAAGGGUGUAAGUAACUGAGCGUCCCUUGACGGUAUCUAACCAGAAAGCCACGGCUAACUACGUG
RNAcentral lists this ribosomal RNA (508 nucleotides) under uncultured bacterium. Its description in RNAcentral is "partial 16S ribosomal RNA". It matches the Rfam family "Bacterial small subunit ribosomal RNA", at positions 28 to 507 of the family's 1533-position model. The record is from RNAcentral.